AUCAAUUAAACCUAAAGCACUAUCUUGUCGUUGUAAUACUGCAGGUUGUCAAUCCAAAUGGGUGUGAUGCUAACAAUCAAGAUGUGAUCAGAAGUCACUAAGUCAAGCCAAGCAAUAACAGGUUUUGGUGUGUUCUAACAGUGAACAUGCAGAAAACAGAAAAUCAAGCAGAAACAAUAAAACACUCGACCAACACAGCUCUUUGCAGAGCACUAGGUGAGGUCGAGUGACAGGUCGAGUAACAGACAGAAAAUAAAACACAGAUACUCGACUGCAUAGUCUGUUGCCAGACAACUGGGUGGUCGAAUAUGAGGUCGAGUAACAAGAAAGAACUGCAUAAAUUAAGCGACACAUAACAAGAUGCAGUAAACAACAGUAGAGUAAACAAAGAAUUCAAUCAGAUAAAGAAUUCCCGAGGAUGGGGUAAUUGAGUAGUUUCGUUUUCUCAGUUUACAGGUGAUUGACAUGCUCAAUAAAUUAACCCUAGACAACAAGUUCAUUAACCAAAUCUAAGUGUCACCGCAACAGAGACCCUCAAGUUAACCUAGUCCCAGACUCAAUCACCAUUGACGAGAGCUAACCUAACAGGCAUUACGAAUCAACAAGUUAAAGCCAAAACGCUCCCUGCAACCAAUACCAUGGUACAGGGUCACGAAUCUCUGGAAUUAGUGGUUCAGACAUUUCAUCGAAAACCUUUUGGACGCGGAAAUGUCUCGGCUCAAAUUCCAGUUGAUCAGAAAGCAAUAGACAUUAAGAACAACUAAUCCAGAAGGGAUCUAUCAAUCAAUACUCAAUCACCUAGCAUACUGAGAAUUCUACACUACUCUAACCCAUCCUCAGAAACCUAUUCACUACUCAGACAUCAUAACAGAAAGCAUAAACGUUAAACAAGUUGAAAACAUGAUAACAACAGUGUAACAGCAGGAUGAUAACAGAAUGAACAACAGUAAACGAAAUCAAGAACAAAAGCUGAAUACUGAAUACUAAAUAGAUAAAGAGAAAUCCGGAUUACAAAAGGUCUAGAACACAAGGUCUGCGGAAUAAAACUAGAUAAAAACUUGUCUGCGAAAAUGUGAAGUACAUGCUACUUAUAGCCAAAUAUUCUGAAACCCUAAUACUCAAAACGACGAAGUAUUGGGACGGAUUAAGAACUGUACUCGACCCAAGUGGUCGAGUGGGAGGUCGAGUGAAUAACUAGAGUCUUCUUUUCUUCCUUGUGCUCGAGUGUCUGGUUGAGUGCGGAAUGAAGAAGACUCUGAAACUUGCCAUCGAGGGUGUAGUCGAGUGGUGGUGAAGGUGAUACUCGACUUCCAAGUAGAGUGAUGUGGUCGAGUGAUGAUCAGGUAAUGGCGGUGAAGACACUCGACCUCAGGGUCGAGUGAUGUGAUCGAGUGAUGAUCAGGUGAUGGAGAUGAAGACGCUCGACCUCGUGGUCGAGUGGUGAGGUGAUGUGGUGAUGUCUUCUACUCGACAUGGGGGUCGAGUGGUCUCUUGAAAUCUUGAAGCUCCUACUCGACCUCUGGGUCGAGCCAUUUGUCAUGAUCAGGUCCGCUUCUUCCAAUUAGCUCGUCAACAACUCCAAAUCACCUGAAAUCAACACAAAUAUGCAACAUGCAUGCAAACCUAUCCUAAACAUGUAAAGUGAUGACAAAUGAUGAGAAAUGGUAUAAAACAGUGAUGAUAUGAUGCUAAAGUGAUGACAAAUAGAUGCUCAAAACAUGCAAAAUACAUACUUAUCACUUUCCAUAUUGAGUUUACUACAAGCUGAAAAGCAUAUCUUAUCAAGAA
This 1788-nucleotide small RNA is filed under the name Arabidopsis thaliana (thale cress). Its description in RNAcentral is "ATSL040890". Lineage: Eukaryota; Viridiplantae; Streptophyta; Magnoliopsida; Brassicales; Brassicaceae. The record is from RNAcentral.